This 434-nucleotide ribosomal RNA is filed under the name uncultured Lachnospiraceae bacterium. RNAcentral describes it as "bacterial SSU rRNA". It matches the Rfam family "Bacterial small subunit ribosomal RNA", at positions 341 to 792 of the family's 1533-position model. The record is from RNAcentral. Lineage: Bacteria; Bacillati; Bacillota; Clostridia; Lachnospirales; Lachnospiraceae.
ACGGAAGGCAGCAGUGGGGAAUAUUGCACAAUGGGGGAAACCCUGAUGCAGCGACGCCGCGUGAGCGAAGAAGUAUUUCGGUAUGUAAAGCUCUAUCAGCAGGGAAGAAAAUGACGGUACCUGACUAAGAAGCUCCGGCUAAAUACGUGCCAGCAGCCGCGGUAAUACGUAUGGAGCAAGCGUUAUCCGGAUUUACUGGGUGUAAAGGGAGCGUAGACGGGACAGCAAGUCUGAUGUGAAAGGCGGGGGCUCAACCCCUGGACUGCAUUGGAAACUGUUGACCUUGAGUGCCGGAGAGGUAAGCGGAAUUCCUAGUGUAGCGGUGAAAUGCGUAGAUAUUAGGAGGAACACCAGUGGCGAAGGCGGCUUACUGGACGGUAACUGACGUUGAGGCUCGAAAGCGUGGGGAGCGAACAGGAUUAGAUACCCUGGUA